GAUAAACGCUGGCGGCGCACAUAAGACAUGCAAGUCGAACGGAAGUCGUUAUAAAAGGAGAGAAGAUUUAUCGGAUUGAAUUUUAUAACAAUGGCUUUAGUGGCGGACUGGUGAGUAACGCGUAAGGAACCUACCUAUUAGAGGGGAACAACAAUGAGAAAUCAUUGCUAAUACCGCAUAUGCCAUAACUACCGCAUGGUAGAAGUGGGAAAGGAGCAAUCCGNUGAUAGAUGGCCUUGCGUCUGAUUAGUUAGUUGGUGGGUAACGGCCUACCAAGACGACGAUCAGUAGCCGGACUGACGAGGUUGAACGGCCACAUGGGACUGAGAUACGGCCCAGACUCCUACGGAGCAGCAGUAGG
Molecule: ribosomal RNA, 361 nt
Filed under: uncultured bacterium
Lineage: Bacteria
Description: bacterial SSU rRNA
Rfam family: Bacterial small subunit ribosomal RNA
Source: RNAcentral